This 292-nucleotide ribosomal RNA is filed under the name uncultured bacterium. Its description in RNAcentral is "partial 16S ribosomal RNA". It matches the Rfam family "Bacterial small subunit ribosomal RNA", at positions 505 to 796 of the family's 1533-position model. The record is from RNAcentral.
GUGCCAGCAGCCGCGGUAAUACGGAGAGUGCAAACGUUGUUCGGAUUCACUGGGCGUAAAGGGCACGUAGGCGGCUCGGCAAAUCGGUCGUGGAAUCUCGACGCUUACCGUCGAAACGGCGGCCGAAAAUACCGGGCUCGAGGGCGUGAGGGGUCACUGGAACUCCUGGUGAAGCGGUGAAAUGCGUAGAUAUCAGGAGGAACGCCGGAGGCGAAAGCGAGUGACUGGCGCGUUCCUGACGCUGAGGUGCGAAAGCUAGGGGAGCAAACAGGAUUAGAUACCCUGGUAGUCC